Molecule: RNA transcript, 1927 nt
Organism: Colletes gigas
Lineage: Eukaryota; Metazoa; Arthropoda; Insecta; Hymenoptera; Colletidae
Gene: Art3
Gene name: protein arginine N-methyltransferase 3
Exons: 9
Source: RefSeq, a predicted model, not a curated record
AUCGAACGAAUACGGAUCUCUAACCUUGAAAAAAUUUAAACACUCUUAAUCGAGUAUCAAUAUUUGUUACGUAUUAUUCGACGUGAUUAUUGUUGCAAAAUGACAGAGAAAGCUGUUUCAUUGAAAACUGAUUACGAAUGUGAAAUGGAUGGAAGGAGCGACGACGACAGUGGAGAUGAUUGGGAUGAAAUCACGGAAGAUUUUGAAUCGAUACCGUGCCUUUUUUGUAACGAGGUUACAAACAACUUUUCCACGGCACUGGAGCACCUUAUUGCAUCGCAUAGAUUCGAUUUGAAGAAUUUUGUAACAAGACAUUCUUUAGACACUUAUUCCUAUAUUAAAUUGAUCAACUUUAUUCGGCAUAAAAAUGUUUUGCCCGACCAAUUAAAUGCAUUAAAUAUUAAAACAUGGGAGAACGACGAAUAUUUAAGGCCUAUCAUAGAAGAUGACCCUUGGCUGAUGUUUGAUAUCGAAGAUUUAGAAGAGAAAACAACAAAAUCUAUAGCGUAUACCGUAAAUUUAGAGAACGGAUGUGUCACAUUAUCCGAGGCACAUUUUGUGGAAUUGCAAAAAACAAUUCAAACUCUGAGAGCACAAUUGGAGCAACGUGAACUAGCAUGUUUUAUGGCAAAACAGCAAAUAGAUGAAAUGUCAGAGAAAAUACGGAAGCUGAUACUAGACGACGAUGCUGAUGGGAACAACAGUAUUAGUUCCUCCAGUAAUCCUAAAUACAACGUUGACAAAGGCUAUUUUAAUACAUACAGUCAUUUUGCUAUACAUCAUGAGAUGUUGACGGACAAAGUACGAACAGAAAGUUACCGCGACGCAUUGCUAACGAAUGCAAAUAGAUUUAGUAACUCCGUGGUGCUAGAUGUUGGUUGCGGAACUGGUAUCCUGUCUAUGUUUGCAGCAAAAACUGGCUGUCGCAAAGUUAUCAGCGUCGAUCAAUCGGAUGUAAUCUAUCAUGCUAUUGAUAUAGUGAGAGAAAACAAUUUGAGUGAUAUUAUCACUUUAAAAAAAGGUCGCCUCGAGGACAUUAAUCUCGAUGAAGAGAAAGUUGAUGCGAUUGUGUCCGAAUGGAUGGGAUAUUUUCUCUUGUACGAAGGUAUGCUCGACACAGUCAUAUAUGCUAGGGAUCAUUACUUGGCACCCGAUGGAAUACUUCUUCCCAACAGAUGUACACUCAAUAUCGUUGGUAGCGGAGAUACCAGAAGGUACGUCGAACUUAUUGACUAUUGGUCAAACGUGUAUGGAUUUAAAAUGAGCUGUAUGAAAGCAGAAGUUGUUCGCGAGCCGAACAUUGAAAUUUGUGUCGCCGACGAAUUGAUAACGAGCACGGUUGAAAUUCAAGCGUUCGAUUUGUACAAAGUAACGACUGAUUGUGUGAAUUUUGCAUCGCCAUUUGAAUUAACGGUAAAGAAGACUGGAUCGUUGACAGCAAUUGUCGGCUUUUUUGAUAUCUUCUUCGACUUGGACAAUCCAGUUCAUUUCAGUACGGGACCCCACUCGACGCCAACACAUUGGAAGCAAACAGUAUUUUCGUUGAGCGAGCCUAUUAGCAUCACCGAAGGUGAGGUUUUAAAUGGUAAGAUAAUUUGCCGAAGACAUAUCAGGGAUAUUCGAGGGCUUAUUAUUACAAUCAAUAUUAAAAAUACUAGCCAAGUUUAUUAUCUGGAAUGAGGCUUCGAUGCACGCUUCGAUGUUCAUACGAUAGAUGUAAGUGCCAAAUACAAAAAACAUAGGGUCCAGAACAGCUUGUCGGUCAUAACGUUGUUGAUGACUAUCAUAAGUUCCGUCGAAUUUUGUAAGAAGAGUUAUUGCGAUAGUAGUAACGGUUACCGGUUGCAUGAAUACUUGAUCGAUUCGGAUAAUGGCAGCAGUUGAACGUUUAUGAGAAAUUGUCGAGUAAAAAAUGGGUUUGUAUAGU